UAUAGAAAGAGGAGAGAACGGAAAUCAAGGGGACAAGUAGCCAUUCUGCCACCUCCCACGCAGGACUUGACAACCUAGCUCCUGCUGGCGCUGCUGCCUCCCUGCGGAGCCUGUGUGUCCCAGCGGCUGGUCUGCCGGGUGCCUCCCGGGCCGGUCUUCCACGUGCGGCAGGCCCUCUUCCUGGAGAAGGUUUCGGCUCCCACAGAUCUGCACAGACCCUGGUCAUCCUUAAAGCCCAGCUGAAGCCCUCCUGUUCCAGGCAGCCGGCCCUAACGCCCUCAUUUGAGACAGCCACUCCCUGCUCAUGGCUCCUGACGAAACUCUUCCUUCCUCUGCUCUCGCACACCUGAACUUCGCAAGAACUUUGAGCAUCCCUUUCAAAUGGAGGGGCUGGAUCCUGCAGGUUAUCCCAAAGCUCAUGGUUUGAAACAGCCAGCAAGCGUGGGCCGGGAGUCCAGCUCUGAGGCGGCUCUGGAUCACUGUCUCUCGUGGGCUGUGCAGAGCCGUGGGACUGGGACCUCGGGCUUAUCUGAAGACUCAGCUCAGGGGAUUUGCUCCCAAACUCACUCGCAUGGCUGUCGACUUAGCCCCUCGCCACCUGGGCUUGUCCACGGGGCUACCCCCCAGUGCAGCAGCUGACACCACCCAGGAUUCAAGAGACAGCCAGAAAUCAUGGCCACGACAGAACCACAGGCUUUGCAACUGGAUCUCAGGAGCCACAUCACAUCUUCUCUGCUCCCUCCGUCCCUAGAAUCCAGUCCUGAGUCACGCAGUCCAGUCCACAUCAGGGACAGGGGACUGUGCUGGGUAUGAGCACGGGGGGCCACCCCUGAGGUACCCACUGUGGUGGCAGCAGCACCUACUGGGCAGAGCGGCCUUGAGAACUGAGAAUCUGCAGCUUGGUACCCAGCCUCCCAGCGCUCGUGGCUCAGUGAGUGUGAGAGCCAUCUCCGAGGAAGCGUGCUCCUCCUCCUGCUACAUCACGGCUUAAUUCCUCAAUGUCGGUGCCUCCCGUAUCCCAGGCUCUCUCUGGUGUCGAGGGACACCCAGAUGAAUGAGAUGUGGCCCCUGACCUGGAGAAUCCCGCAUUUAAAAUGGGGUGUGGCAGGUGCUUUGAUGUGGGGGAGGCAAAGGGGAGGUGUCCCGCAGCUGUGAGCAGCAUCGCAUGUGCCCGGGGGCCCCCGGGUGGGCAUCCUCCCAUCAGACCCCUCCAGUGAGCCCAGCUGCAAUGGGACGAUUAACCCGUGUUCAGCGCUACCGAGCCGUGAAUCUCGGUGAGCGGGUGUGUGCUGCCUCUAAAUGAGC
RNAcentral lists this long non-coding RNA (1305 nucleotides) under Macaca mulatta (Rhesus monkey). RNAcentral describes it as "lncRNA (ENSMMUG00000051137.1)". The record is from RNAcentral. Lineage: Eukaryota; Metazoa; Chordata; Mammalia; Primates; Cercopithecidae.